UACGUAGGGGGCUAGCGUUGUCCGGAAUCAUUGGGCGUAAAGCGCGCGUAGGCGGCCCGGUAAGUCCGCUGUAAAAGUCAAAGGCUCAACCUUUGAAUGUCAGUGGAUACUGCCGGGCUAGAGUCCGGAAGAGGCGAGUGGAAUUCCUGGUGUAGCGGUGGAAUGCGUAGAGAUCCGGAAGAACACCGGUGGCGAAGGCGGCCUGCUGGGCAGUGGCUGACACUGAGGCGCGACAGCGUGGGGAGCAAACAGG
RNAcentral lists this ribosomal RNA (253 nucleotides) under uncultured bacterium. Its description in RNAcentral is "partial 16S ribosomal RNA". It matches the Rfam family "Bacterial small subunit ribosomal RNA", at positions 524 to 776 of the family's 1533-position model. The record is from RNAcentral.